GUAGACAUAGUUUAAUCAAAACAUUAGAUUGUGAUUCUAAAAACAGAGGUUAGAACCCCCUUGUCCACC
Molecule: transfer RNA, 69 nt
Filed under: Eleotris fusca (dusky sleeper)
Lineage: Eukaryota; Metazoa; Chordata; Actinopteri; Gobiiformes; Eleotridae
Description: tRNA-His
Rfam family: tRNA
About the family: Transfer RNA (tRNA) molecules are approximately 80 nucleotides in length. Their secondary structure includes four short double-helical elements and three loops (D, anti-codon, and T loops).
Source: RNAcentral